GUCUAAUGUAAUCCCAUUAACCAACAAAGUCGUUGACAAAAGCAAGCCGUGGCUCCACCCCACUUUCAUUGCCUAUUUUUUCAUUCCACUAACCACAAGAUGAGAGAGAGAGAGAGAGAGAGAGANNNUUCUGAAUUGUUUAGUCAAUUAAUGCGAUAAGAGAAAGUAUGAUAGUUGAAAUUACAUAUCAGUCGUUUUUGUUGAACAGAAAUGCUAAGUGGCAUGAAAGAGUCAACUGAGAUUGAAUCUCUGACCAUUUUUU
RNAcentral lists this unclassified non-coding RNA (262 nucleotides) under Hevea brasiliensis (rubber tree). Lineage: Eukaryota; Viridiplantae; Streptophyta; Magnoliopsida; Malpighiales; Euphorbiaceae. The record is from RNAcentral.